GCCUUUGUGGUGUAGUGGUCAACACACUCGGCACGUAUUCGAGAGGUCCGCGGUUCGAGUCCCGGCGAGGGUA
RNAcentral lists this transfer RNA (73 nucleotides) under Stegodyphus mimosarum. It matches the Rfam family "tRNA". Rfam says of the family: Transfer RNA (tRNA) molecules are approximately 80 nucleotides in length. Their secondary structure includes four short double-helical elements and three loops (D, anti-codon, and T loops). Further hydrogen bonds mediate the characteristic L-shaped molecular structure. tRNAs have two regions of fundamental functional importance: the anti-codon, which is responsible for specific mRNA codon recognition, and the 3' end, to which the tRNAs corresponding amino acid is attached (by aminoacyl-tRNA synthetases). tRNAs cope with the degeneracy of the genetic code in two manners: having more than one tRNA (with a specific anti-codon) for a particular amino acid; and 'wobble' base-pairing, i.e. permitting non-standard base-pairing at the 3rd anti-codon position. The record is from Rfam by way of RNAcentral. Lineage: Eukaryota; Metazoa; Arthropoda; Arachnida; Araneae; Eresidae.